UUUUGUUUUUCUUCUUCG
This 18-nucleotide small RNA is filed under the name Arabidopsis thaliana (thale cress). Its description in RNAcentral is "ATSL023500". The record is from RNAcentral. Lineage: Eukaryota; Viridiplantae; Streptophyta; Magnoliopsida; Brassicales; Brassicaceae.